Molecule: long non-coding RNA, 601 nt
Organism: Mesoplodon densirostris (Blainville's beaked whale)
Lineage: Eukaryota; Metazoa; Chordata; Mammalia; Artiodactyla; Ziphiidae
Exons: 5
Source: RefSeq, a predicted model, not a curated record
GAGGCUCCUGCUCUCCCAUUUCAGUAUCCCAUAUGACAUGGAAGAGCUAAGGGAUGCUUCUAAGGAGAUAGAACUUUUUUCCUUGGUUUCCCCAGAAUUUCAGAGCAUCUUCAUGGAGCAACAGAGAAUGCAAACAUUUCCAGAUUAUGACGCUGAGAUAGCUAAAGUGGAGAAUUUGGGUUUGGUAGGACCUGGUAUGGCCUUGAAAAAGAGAGCCAACUGGAUUUCCUUUAUAAAGAUUAAGCCAAAAUGUGAUCCUUGGCAAAAGAAGCUUUUGACCAAACUAAAAGAACGGAGAACAGAUGUAUGAAUGCAACUCCAAGCAAAGUUUUUGAAGAUUUCCAACCCUGAGAGAGUAAUGCAAGUGCUCCAAGAUCAUGCUGCAAAAACAGUCUCGCUGGCUUCAUCUCAUCCAACAUUUGUGGCUUCCCAGGGUUUGCAUCAGGGCAACUAUGACCAAAUCUGGGAGACUAUUUAUAGCAACAUCAACCUCUACCAGAAUGAAAACAUGAAGGAAGAUGAUCUUUCAGUGGAACGAGAUGAAAAUGACCCAGCACAAAUAAGUCUUAGCCAGUGUGCUCAUGAGCCUGUCAAGCAGAAG